This 309-nucleotide ribosomal RNA is filed under the name Triticum aestivum (bread wheat). Its description in RNAcentral is "partial small subunit ribosomal RNA". The record is from RNAcentral. Lineage: Eukaryota; Viridiplantae; Streptophyta; Magnoliopsida; Poales; Poaceae.
AUGAGGGGCUAUGGGAACAAUGGUACAUGGGCCGAUGUCGAGUUCCCCGCCCCUCACGUCAUGUAUCUUCGCCAAGGGUGGAAGACCUUUUCCCGUAUCCACAGCCUGACGGAGGGGCUCACUCUCCAUUUCAAGUUAAUGGAGAGAGGCCUCCACUCCAUCAAGGUCUUUGGGCACUUCGGGACUCGCAUAAGGUGCUGCGUGGAGUGCUCCUCUGAUGACGAAGACUCCUCCUCGAGCAAGAGUGACGAGGAGGACAGCGACAGUGACGACGAGGGUAACGGGCGGCACGACGACGGGUCUGACUAG